RNAcentral lists this unclassified non-coding RNA (240 nucleotides) under soil metagenome. RNAcentral's name for it is "partial contains 5.8S ribosomal RNA, internal transcribed spacer 2, and large subunit ribosomal RNA". The record is from RNAcentral.
AACGCACGAGACCUGCGGACCUGCGGAAGGAUCAUCAAAAAAAGAGAAGGGUAUGAAAAGUUAUUUUUUUACCUCUCUCACUUUUUUAUUAAUUUUUUCUUUCUUUCCCCUUUUUCUAUAUACUCCUUCCUAGGAGUUGUUAUUAGAGAAAAAGGGGGGGUGAAGAAAAGAAACUUGUCGACUUGUUGUUGUCCCCUUUUUAGGAGAGUUUCUUUUAAAAAGGGGAGACCCUUUUCCCUC